RNAcentral lists this ribosomal RNA (653 nucleotides) under uncultured bacterium. Its description in RNAcentral is "bacterial SSU rRNA". The stretch from base 1 to 537 matches the Rfam family "Bacterial small subunit ribosomal RNA", at positions 338 to 873 of the family's 1533-position model. The record is from RNAcentral.
CCUACGGGAGGCAGCAGUGAGGAAUAUUGGACAAUGGGCGCAAGCCUGAUCCAGCCAUGCCGCGUGCAGGAAGACGCAUCUAUGGUGUGUAAACUGCUUUUGUACGGGAAGAAACACUCCCUCGUGAGGGAGCUUGACGGUACCGUAAGAAUAAGGAUCGGCUAACUCCGUGCCAGCAGCCGCGGUAAUACGGAGGAUCCAAGCGUUAUCCGGAAUCAUUGGGUUUAAAGGGUCCGUAGGCGGUUUAAUAAGUCAGUGGUGAAAGCCCAUCGCUCAACGAUGGAACGGCCAUUGAUACUGUUAGACUUGAAUUACUAGGAAGUAACUAGAAUAUGUAGUGUAGCGGUGAAAUGCUUAGAUAUUACAUGGAAUACCAAUUGCGAAGGCAGGUUACUACUAGUGGAUUGACGCUGAUGGACGAAAGCGUGGGGAGCGAACAGGAUUAGAUACCCUGGUAGUCCACGCCGUAAACGAUGGAUACUAGCUGUUGGGCGCAAGUUCAGUGGNGUAGACGAAGUAGAGUAAGUAAGUACCACCGUACGGGAGGUACGGUUCGUCGUAAGAAGUUAGAAACGUAACUUAAAGUUAAGUAAGUUAGUUACGGCGUGGAGGACGUUAGCCGACGGACGACGACGAGGGGAAGGGUUAGGAGG